This 253-nucleotide ribosomal RNA is filed under the name uncultured bacterium. Its description in RNAcentral is "partial 16S ribosomal RNA". It matches the Rfam family "Bacterial small subunit ribosomal RNA", at positions 524 to 776 of the family's 1533-position model. The record is from RNAcentral.
UACGAAUGGGGCAAGCGUUGUUCGGAAUCACUGGGCUUAAAGCGUACGCAGGCGGACUUGCAAGUCAGGAGUGAAAUCCCAGGGCUCAACCCUGGAACUGCUCUUGAAACUGCAAGUCUAGAAUCCGGGAGAGGCCAGCAGAAUUCCAAGUGUAGAGGUGAAAUUCGCAGAUAUUUGGAGGAAUACCAGUGGCGUAGGCGGCUGGCUGGACCGGUAUUGACGCUCAGGUACGAAAGCGUGGGGAGCAAACAGG